RNAcentral lists this unclassified non-coding RNA (249 nucleotides) under fungal sp. Its description in RNAcentral is "partial internal transcribed spacer region". The stretch from base 1 to 46 matches the Rfam family "Eukaryotic small subunit ribosomal RNA", at positions 1786 to 1831 of the family's 1831-position model. The record is from RNAcentral. Lineage: Eukaryota; Fungi.
AAGUCGUAACAAGGUUUCCGUAGGUGAACCUGCGGAAGGAUCAUUACCAUUUUAAUCCAAAUCUCAACCCAAUGUGCACGAUGGUUGUUUGUCCUUGGGGCGAUGUUUGUUGAGCUUAAAAGUCUUUUUGGACUUUUGUCACAAACGGUUGCCCCACCAUUGUUAAUAAAUUCCGUUAUUUUUACAUUUGGCAUCUUUUUAUAUAAAUUAUAAAUAUGACAACUUUUAACGGUGGAUCUCUUGGCUCGU